This 264-nucleotide long non-coding RNA is filed under the name Sorghum bicolor (sorghum). RNAcentral's name for it is "long non-coding RNA (SBIC_LNC006048)". The record is from RNAcentral. Lineage: Eukaryota; Viridiplantae; Streptophyta; Magnoliopsida; Poales; Poaceae.
CCUAGGAUGGCUCUUCACUGACACCACACUUCCACAUUAGGACACAAUAUGACUUGUUUUGGGGAAACUUUUAUCAGAGGUUGGUGCACGACGCACAGUGUGUUGAUUGGGCUUGGUUGGGUUUCCCAGCGGUUGCUCUAAUGAUGGAGAUGUUUUUGAGUUCUUGGGAUUGAGGGAGGUGAUUGAGUUCCAGCAGGGUAGGAAUGAGUUAGCAAUUAGAUAGUUCUAUGCCACUUUCGAGAUGGAUACAACGCCAGAGCAGAU